Molecule: ribosomal RNA, 468 nt
Filed under: uncultured bacterium
Lineage: Bacteria
Description: partial 16S ribosomal RNA
Rfam family: Bacterial small subunit ribosomal RNA
Source: RNAcentral
GACGAACGCUGGCGGCGUGCUUAACACAUGCAAGUCGAACGGAAAGGCCCUGCUUUUGUGGGGUGCUCGAGUGGCGAACGGGUGAGUAACACGUGAGUAACCUGCCCUUGACUUUGGGAUAACUUCAGGAAACUGGGGCUCAUACCGGAUAGGAGCUCCUGCUGCAUGGUGGGGGUUGGAAAGUUUCGGCGGUUGGGGAUGGACUCGCGGCUUAUCAGCUUGUUGGUGGGGUAGUGGCUUACCAAGGCUUUGACGGGUAGCCGGCCUGAGAGGGUGACCGGCGACAUUGGGACUGAGAUACGGCCCAGACUCCUACGGGAGGCAGCAGUGGGGAGUAUUGCACAAUGGGCGGAAGCCUGAUGCGGCAACGCCGCGUGCGGGAUGACGGCCUUCGGGUGGUAAACCGCUUUCGCCUGUGACGAAGCGUGAGUGACGGUAAUGGGUAAAGAAGCACCGGCUAACUACGUG